Molecule: long non-coding RNA, 156 nt
Organism: Aethalodelphis obliquidens (Pacific white-sided dolphin)
Lineage: Eukaryota; Metazoa; Chordata; Mammalia; Artiodactyla; Delphinidae
Exons: 3
Source: RefSeq, a predicted model, not a curated record
ACACAUGUUAGUAUUUGUUUUAUGUAUUUGAGUGCUCCUAUAUUAUGUGCAUAUAUGUUAACACAUGUAAAUCCUCUUCUUAUAUUGAUCCUUCUAUCAUUAUAUAGUGUCCUUCUUUAUCUUUCUUUAUGGCCUUUAUUUUGUUGAGGAUACAGA